UCCCACGUAGCUCAGUCGGUAAAGCAUCUGCCUGUAAUGUAGGAGACCUGAGUUUAAUUCCUGGGUUGGGAA
Non-coding RNA from Bos taurus (domestic cattle), 72 nucleotides. The record is from Rfam. Lineage: Eukaryota; Metazoa; Chordata; Mammalia; Artiodactyla; Bovidae.